CCUGCCGGAUGGGUAGCCGCUGGCCCGCGCGACCCGCGGGCGGGAGGAAAGUCCGGUCUCCAUAGGGCAACAUGCCGGCUAACGGCCGGGGGGGCCCGCUCAAAGCGGGUUUUACGGAUAGUGCCACAGAAAAUAUACCGCCGGGCGGGCAACCGCCAGGUAAGGGUGAAAAGGUGCGGUAAGAGCGCACCGCGGCCGCAGUAAUGCGGCUGGCAGGGAAAACCCCAUGUGGAGCAAGACCAAAUAGGGGAGCAGGAGCGGCCCGCUCCGUUACGACUUCCGGGUAGGUUGCUGGAGCCGGGGAGAGAUCUCCGGCCAAGACGAAUGGCUACCACCUCGUUCGUAAGGACGGGGUACAGAAACCGGCUUAUAGUCCGGCAGGCUCU
This 386-nucleotide RNase P RNA is filed under the name Bryobacterales bacterium. Its description in RNAcentral is "RNase P RNA component class A". It matches the Rfam family "Bacterial RNase P class A". From Rfam's summary of the family: Ribonuclease P (RNase P) is a ubiquitous endoribonuclease, found in archaea, bacteria and eukarya as well as chloroplasts and mitochondria. Its best characterised activity is the generation of mature 5'-ends of tRNAs by cleaving the 5'-leader elements of precursor-tRNAs. The record is from RNAcentral. Lineage: Bacteria; Pseudomonadati; Acidobacteriota; Terriglobia; Bryobacterales.